This 415-nucleotide ribosomal RNA is filed under the name uncultured bacterium. RNAcentral describes it as "bacterial SSU rRNA". It matches the Rfam family "Bacterial small subunit ribosomal RNA", at positions 28 to 433 of the family's 1533-position model. The record is from RNAcentral.
GAUGAACGCUAGCUACAGGCUUAACACAUGCAAGUCGAGGGGCAGCGGGAUUGAAGCUUGCUUCAAUUGCCGGCGACCGGCGCACGGGUGAGUAACGCGUAUCCAACCUUCCGUACACUCAGGGAUAGCCUUUCGAAAGAAAGAUUAAUACCUGAUGGUAUGAUGAGAUUGCAUGAUAGCAUCAUUAAAGAUUUAUCGGUGUACGAUGGGGAUGCGUUCCAUUAGGUAGUAGGCGGGGUAACGGCCCACCUAGCCAACGAUGGAUAGGGGUUCUGAGAGGAAGGUCCCCCCACAUUGGAACUGAGACACGGUCCAAACUCCUACGGGAGGCAGCAGUGAGGAAUAUUGGUCAAUGGACGAGAGUCUGAACCAGCCAAGUAGCGUGAAGGAUGAAGGUCCUACGGAUUGAAACUUC